AUGAUGGUGAUAGGUGAAAAAAUAGGAUCCAAUGUAGGGAACAGGGGAACUGGACGAUUGAAGGAUGAUGGUGUUGAUAUGAUGUUUGGCGUGAGGAAGAUAAUGGUUAUGGCGACGAUGAAGGUAAUUCUGGUGGGGGAGAGACUAAUUUCCAGGGGGUUCACCCUUGGUCUACGGAGGAAAGUGAAGAAGAGGGUGAAGAUUGAAGAUAAGGGAGUAUGGGUUGUUAUGAAAGUUAUUUGGAGUUUUGUUGUUGUGAACGUGGGGUGGGUUUUGGGGCAAAAGCGUUAA
Non-coding RNA from Vicia faba (fava bean), 291 nucleotides. Lineage: Eukaryota; Viridiplantae; Streptophyta; Magnoliopsida; Fabales; Fabaceae. The record is from the annotation of a GenBank genome assembly.